UUAUGGCUCAGGAUGAACGCUAGCGACAGGCUUAACACAUGCAAGUCGAGGGGCAGCAAUAAAAGUAGCAAUACGUUGGUGGCGACCGGCGCACGGGUGAGUAACGCGUAUGCAACCUACCUAUCAGAGGGGAAUAACCCGGCGAAAGUCGGACUAAUACCGCAUAAAACAGGGGCACCGCAUGGUGAUAUUUGUUAAAGAAAUUCGCUGAUAGAUGGGCAUGCGUUCCAUUAGGUAGUUGGUGAGGUAACGGCUCACCAAGCCGACGAUGGAUAGGGAACUGAGAGGUUGGUCCCCCACACUGGUACUGAGACACGGACCAGACUCCUACGGGAGGCAGCAGUGAGGAAUAUUGGUCAAUGGGCGGGAGCCUGAACCAGCCAAGUCGCGUGAAGGAAGAAGGAUCUAUGGUUCGUAAACUUCUUUUGCAGGGGAAUAAAGUGCAGGACGUGUCCUGUUUUGUAUGUACCCUGAGAAUAAGGAUCGGCUAACUCCGUGCCAGCCGCCGC
This 509-nucleotide ribosomal RNA is filed under the name uncultured bacterium. RNAcentral's name for it is "bacterial SSU rRNA". It matches the Rfam family "Bacterial small subunit ribosomal RNA", at positions 17 to 518 of the family's 1533-position model. The record is from RNAcentral.